AGAAUCAACGCUGGCGGCGUGCCUAACACAUGCAAGUCGAACGCGAGAGGGGAGCAAUCCCUGAUUGAGUGGCAAACGGGUGAGUAACACGUGGGUGACCUGCCUCAGAGUGGGGGAUAACGUCCCGAAAGGGACGCUAAUACCGCAUAACAUCCUGCCUUUGGAAAGGCGGAGAUCAAAGCCGGGGAUCGCAAGACCUGGCGCUUGGAGAGGGGCCCGCGUCUGAUUAGCUAGUUGGUAGGGUAAUGGCCUACCAAGGCUACGAUC
This 267-nucleotide ribosomal RNA is filed under the name uncultured soil bacterium. RNAcentral describes it as "partial 16S ribosomal RNA". It matches the Rfam family "Bacterial small subunit ribosomal RNA", at positions 26 to 281 of the family's 1533-position model. The record is from RNAcentral.